AAUGAACGCUGGCGGCGUGGAUUAGGCAUGCAAGUCGUACGAGGUUAAAUGAAGCUUGCUUUUUUUAACCUAGUGGCGAAAGGGUGAGUAAUGCCUGAACAAUCUACCCCACUGAUGGGGACAAGCCAUCGAAAGAUGGUCUAAUACCCAAUGAUGUCGGAGCAUCGCAUGGUGCACCGAUCAAAGACGGCCAAUGCUUGCAUGCUGUCGCAGUAGGAGGGGUUCAGGUGCUAUUAGCUUGUUGGUGAGGUAACGGCUCACCAAGGCGAUGAUGGCUAGGCGAACUGAGAGGUUGACCGCCCACACUGGGACUGAGACACUGCCCAG
RNAcentral lists this ribosomal RNA (327 nucleotides) under uncultured bacterium. RNAcentral's name for it is "bacterial SSU rRNA". It matches the Rfam family "Bacterial small subunit ribosomal RNA", at positions 29 to 334 of the family's 1533-position model. The record is from RNAcentral.